Molecule: ribosomal RNA, 270 nt
Filed under: uncultured prokaryote
Description: partial 16S ribosomal RNA
Rfam family: Archaeal small subunit ribosomal RNA
Source: RNAcentral
CACCAUCGCCACGAGUGGUAAACAUAUUUAUUGGGCCUAAAGCGUUCGUAGCUGGUUUGUUAAAUUCUUUGUGAAAUCGUUGUGCUUAACGCAACGGCGUGCAUAGAAGACUGAUAGACUAGGAACCGGGAGAAGUCAGAAGUAUUCCAGGGGGAGCGGUAAAAUGUUAUAAUCCUUGGAAGACUACCUGUGGCGAAGGCGUCUGACUAGAACGGAUUCGACAGUGAGGAACGAAAGCCAGGGGAGCGAACCGGAUUAGAUACCCCUGUA